RNAcentral lists this ribosomal RNA (484 nucleotides) under uncultured bacterium. RNAcentral's name for it is "partial 16S ribosomal RNA". It matches the Rfam family "Bacterial small subunit ribosomal RNA", at positions 28 to 523 of the family's 1533-position model. The record is from RNAcentral.
GAUGAACGCUGGCGGCGUGCUUAACACAUGCAAGUCGAACGGUGAAGCAGGAGCUUGCUCUUGUGGAUCAGUGGCGAACGGGUGAGUAACACGUGAGCAACCUGCCCCUGACUCUGGGAUAAGCGCUGGAAACGGCGUCUAAUACUGGAUAUGUGAUGUGACCGCAUGGUCUGCAUCUGGAAAGAAUUUCGGUUGGGGAUGGGCUCGCGGCCUAUCAGCUUGUUGGUGAGGUAAUGGCUCACCAAGGCGUUGACGGGUAGCCGGCCUGAGAGGGUGACCGGCCACACUGGGACUGAGACACGGCGCAGACGCCUACGGGAGGCAGCAGUGGGGAAUAUUGCACAAUGGGCGGAAGCCUGAUGCAGCAACGCCGCGUGAGGGAUGACGGCCUUCGGGUUGUAAACCUCUUUUAGCAGGGAAGAAGCGAAAGUGACGGUACCUGCAGAAAAAGCACCGGCUAACUACGUGCCAGCCGCCGCCGUAA